UACUGCCUUCGGAGUGGGGAAGUAACGGACUGGAAACGAAGACCGCUAAUAACCGCCAUGAUGCAUCUGAGUCGCAUGGUUUGGAUGCCAAAGAUUUAUCGCUCUGAGAUGAGCUCGCGUCUGAUUAGCUAGUUGGCGGGGUAACGGCCCACCAAGGCGACGAUCAGUAGCCGGACUGAGAGGUUGGCCGGCCACAUUGGGACUGAGACACGGCCCAGACUCCUACGGAAGGCAGCAG
RNAcentral lists this ribosomal RNA (238 nucleotides) under uncultured bacterium. RNAcentral's name for it is "partial 16S ribosomal RNA". It matches the Rfam family "Bacterial small subunit ribosomal RNA", at positions 123 to 354 of the family's 1533-position model. The record is from RNAcentral.